UACGGAGGGUGCAAACGUUGCUCGGAAUCAUUGGGCGUAAAGCGCACGUAGGCGGUUCGGUAAGUCGGAUGUGAAAUCCCUCGGCUCAACCGAGGAAGUGCAUCCGAAACUGCCGGGCUUGAGUACGGAAGAGGGUCUCGGAAUUCCCGGUGUAGAGGUGAAAUUCGUAGAUAUUGGGAAGAACACCGGUGGCGAAGGCGGCCAUCUGGACCGUAUCUGACGCUGAGGCGCGAAAGCGUGGGGAGCAAACAGG
RNAcentral lists this ribosomal RNA (253 nucleotides) under uncultured bacterium. RNAcentral's name for it is "partial 16S ribosomal RNA". It matches the Rfam family "Bacterial small subunit ribosomal RNA", at positions 524 to 776 of the family's 1533-position model. The record is from RNAcentral.